CGCAGUCCGCUCUACCCCCCCCACCGCGGCACCAAAAAAAGACUCGCAGCCCUCCGCCAGCCACCGCCCACAGCCUCACCUUGAAGGGGUUGUUGAGGCCCGGGUCGGCGAAAGGAUUGCUGUCGAAGGCCGACAUUGCAGAGGCAGGCGGGCACUGGGCAGCGAUUUUUCCCCUACAGCACCCCUCACACUCGCUGGCUAUCACAAAUAUCACUAACUGCUACAACCCAAGCAGGACCAGCCACGGAGCACCGACCUCCCAAAAUGUCUGCGGAGCAACCUCACUUCCGAGGCAAAACGGCUGUGGAAAAAGAAAAGAACCGCUGACUAAAAAGGCGAGCAGGAGGCGAGGAGGGAGCAGGGCUUGGAAGAGCCCAUUCCCGGGGCAGCUGACAUCUGAGGACCCCAUCCAUGCACCCGGACACUCCCCCCUUCAGCCAGGAGUCUGUGAGAGUUGCUGGGGGAAGAGGGAGGGGAUUGAGUGUUGCACAUCCCUUUAUAAAUAUAUAUAUUCCCCUAUCACUAAUAAUUAAAAUCAAUUUAUUUCACUUUUCAA
Apus apus (common swift) is the source of this 556-nucleotide long non-coding RNA. RefSeq lists it as uncharacterized. The transcript has 2 exons. The record is from RefSeq and is a predicted model, not a curated record. Lineage: Eukaryota; Metazoa; Chordata; Aves; Apodiformes; Apodidae.